GGAUGGAUGUCUGAGCGGUUGAAAGAGUCGGUCUUGAAAACCGAAGUAUUUAGAAUACCGAGGGUUCGAAUCCCUCUCCAUCC
RNAcentral lists this transfer RNA (83 nucleotides) under Isoetes engelmannii (Engelmann's quillwort). Its description in RNAcentral is "tRNA-Ser". It matches the Rfam family "tRNA". Rfam says of the family: Transfer RNA (tRNA) molecules are approximately 80 nucleotides in length. Their secondary structure includes four short double-helical elements and three loops (D, anti-codon, and T loops). Lineage: Eukaryota; Viridiplantae; Streptophyta; Lycopodiopsida; Isoetales; Isoetaceae. The record is from RNAcentral.